RNAcentral lists this ribosomal RNA (450 nucleotides) under uncultured bacterium. RNAcentral describes it as "partial 16S ribosomal RNA". It matches the Rfam family "Bacterial small subunit ribosomal RNA", at positions 354 to 796 of the family's 1533-position model. The record is from RNAcentral.
GUGGGGAAUCUUCCGCAAUGGACGAAAGUCUGACGGAGCAACGCCGCGUGAGUGAAGAAGGUUUUCGGAUCGUAAAGCUCUUUCGUUAGGGACGAACGUGCUCUUUGUGAAUAAUGAGGAGUAAUGACGGUACCUAAAUAAGAAGCCACGGCUAACUACGUGCCAGCAGCCGCGGUAAUACGUAGGUGGCAAGCGUUGUCCGGAAUUAUUUGGCGUAAAGCGCGCGCAGGCGGGAUAUCAAGUCUGUCUUAAAAGUGCGAGGCUCAACCUCGUGAGGGGACAGAAACUGGUAUUGUUGAGUGUCGGAGAGGAAAGUGGAAUUCCAAGUGUAGAGGGGAAAUGCGUAGAGAUUUGGAAGAACACCAGUGGCGAAGGCGACUUUCUGGACGAUGUCUGACGCUGAGGCGCGAAAGCUAGGGGAGCGAACGGGAUUAGAAACCCUGGUAGUCC